Molecule: ribosomal RNA, 252 nt
Filed under: uncultured Bacteroidales bacterium
Lineage: Bacteria; Pseudomonadati; Bacteroidota; Bacteroidia; Bacteroidales
Description: partial 16S ribosomal RNA
Rfam family: Bacterial small subunit ribosomal RNA
Source: RNAcentral
UACGGAGGAUUCAAGCGUUAUCCGGAUUUAUUGGGUUUAAAGGGUGCGCAGGCGGAUUUUUAAGUCAGCGGUCAAAUCGUGGGGCUCAACCCCAUCCAGCCGUUGAAACUGGGGAUCUAGAGUGUGCGAGAGGUAUGCGGAAUGCGUGGUGUAGCGGUGAAAUGCUUAGAUAUCACACAGAACACCGAUUGCGAAGGCAGCUUUCCAAGCUAUUACUGACGCUGAGGCACGAAAGCGUGGGGAGCGAACAGG